AGAGACGAGUCAGAGUUUGAUCCUGGCUCAGGAUGAACGCUGGCGGCGUGCUUAACACAUGCAAGUCGAACGAAGUGCUUUAGAACAAUCCCUUCGGGGUGCGUUCUAAAGUAUCUUAGUGGCGGACGGGUGAGUAACGCGUGGGUAACCUGCCUCAUGCAGGGGGAUAACAGUUAGAAAUGACUGCUAAUACCGCAUAAGCGCACAGUAUCGCAUGAUACAGUGUGAAAAGAUUUAUCAGCAUGAGAUGGACCCGCGUCUGAUUAGCUAGUUGGUGAGGUAACGGCUCACCAAGGCGACGAUCAGUAGCCGACUUGAGAGAGUGAUCGGCCACAUUGGGACUGAGACACGGCCCAA
RNAcentral lists this ribosomal RNA (357 nucleotides) under uncultured bacterium. Its description in RNAcentral is "bacterial SSU rRNA". It matches the Rfam family "Bacterial small subunit ribosomal RNA", at positions 1 to 334 of the family's 1533-position model. The record is from RNAcentral.